RNAcentral lists this long non-coding RNA (536 nucleotides) under Marmota monax (woodchuck). Lineage: Eukaryota; Metazoa; Chordata; Mammalia; Rodentia; Sciuridae. The record is from RNAcentral.
CGGUUUUUCUUCCGUCCCACCCAUCUCCAGGGACAGGCAACUUAAAAGCGAAACAAAAUGAAAGAAGAAUCUUUAAAUGGUUACCCAUCCUCUCGCACUGUCCUCAGGGGCGAGCAGUUUACCUUAUCACUUACCCUCAGGCGUUCCCUGCACGGGCCAUCAUAUGCCGCAGUCUGGCUGGGCACAAAUCACGAGCCACUUGAAGAUUCAAGCAGGAAUGAACUUUAUUUUUAGAACCCACGCCGCAGGCCGCCCCUCUCCAGGAACUCCCCGAGAGCUCCACCGGAACUUCGGGAACUUCGCUAGCACUCAACUGGAACUCAACCUGUGAACUCCACCCACCUGAACUCUCCAGGAACUCCGCGAGAGCUCAAAAAUAGCGGGCACCCGAGGCAGAAGGAACCGCUCCUUCUGGCAAAAUGCCAGGCACCAUCUUGACCUGGCCAUGGCUCUCAACACUCACCACUUCCUCAUACCAAUCCAACCCUUCACAUGCCGGACUCUAAUCCCUGAGCCUGCCCCAUAAAAGUCCUGAA